UGCUAAUAAUAAUAAUGUUGUUAUACCUCCUUUGGCCUAAGCCACAUGGCACAUUAAGCCGCCUGUGGAGCACUCUCGAACACCCUUUUGCUCGCCACUAACUGGCUUGUCACCAAGAGACUAGUAGCAUGAAAGGCUUGAUUCUGACUAUCUCCCAUUUUCUUUAAAUGGAUCCUGGUUGAUCAUAAACCUCUUGUUUUCCCUGGAUGGUUUAUGGUCGAGCAUCCACCUAUUCAUUUUGGAAGGAUCUCGGCCACUAGUUCCUCCGGACAUUCACCCUUCUAUUGAAAAGGUGAUUCUUUAAGCCACCACAACUCAAAAAGAACGACAGAAUAUGUCUUAUUAAAUACAUCAUUCCCAUGCAUUCCACAAUGAUGGUCUAAUAACAAGACCACCAGUUACCACUACCAAGCACAGGACUUCCCCUGUAUAUACCUAUUAACACGAUGAAGAGGGGGAUUGACUCACAAAAUUCUAGCCUCCAUAUAGUCCUUUGCCACCUUAGUUUUAUUACAC
Molecule: long non-coding RNA, 516 nt
Filed under: Gossypium barbadense (sea-island cotton)
Lineage: Eukaryota; Viridiplantae; Streptophyta; Magnoliopsida; Malvales; Malvaceae
Description: long non-coding RNA (GBAR_LNC008591)
Source: RNAcentral